RNAcentral lists this ribosomal RNA (208 nucleotides) under uncultured soil bacterium. RNAcentral's name for it is "partial 16S ribosomal RNA". It matches the Rfam family "Bacterial small subunit ribosomal RNA", at positions 26 to 226 of the family's 1533-position model. The record is from RNAcentral.
AGGACGAACGCUGGCGGCGUGCCUAACACAUGCAAGUCGAACGAGAUCCAUGCAGUGGCAACACUGCGGAAGAUCUAGUGGCGAACGGGUGAGUAACACGUGAGGAACUUGCCCCGGAGACCGGAUAACUCUCCGAAAGGAGAGACUAAUACCGGAUACCUCCACUUGGUCGCAUGGCCGAGUGAAGAAAUGGAUUCCGCUCCGGGAG